Molecule: ribosomal RNA, 243 nt
Filed under: uncultured bacterium
Lineage: Bacteria
Description: partial 16S ribosomal RNA
Rfam family: Bacterial small subunit ribosomal RNA
Source: RNAcentral
GCUAGCGUUGUUCGGAAUUACUGGGCGUAAAGCGCACGUAGGCGGCUUUGUAAGUUAGAGGUGAAAGCCUGGAGCUCAACUCCAGAAUUGCCUUUAAGACUGCAUCGCUUGAAUCCAGGAGAGGUGAGUGGAAUUCCGAGUGUAGAGGUGAAAUUCGUAGAUAUUCGGAAGAACACCAGUGGCGAAGGCGACUUACUGGACACAUAUUGACGCUGAGGUGCGAAAGCGUGGGGAGCAAACAGG